Molecule: ribosomal RNA, 2085 nt
Filed under: Triticum aestivum (bread wheat)
Lineage: Eukaryota; Viridiplantae; Streptophyta; Magnoliopsida; Poales; Poaceae
Description: partial small subunit ribosomal RNA
Source: RNAcentral
AUGGACUGCUGCUGCCGCGCGCGUCGCCCAGACCUAGGGCUUGCCUUAUUCGGCUGCAUCCUCAGGACGGGCUUGAAGAUAGACCAAAUCACCGCCAACACCCUCCUCAAGUGCCUCUGCUAUGCAAAACAGACAGAAGAGGCUGUGUACGUGCUGCUUCAUAGGAUGUCGGAGCUCAGCUGUGUGCCUGAUGCCUUCGCAUACAACAUAGUUCUUAAGAGCUUAUGUAAAGGUAGCAGGAGCCAGCGGGCGCACGACCUGCUCCGGACGAUGGCAAAAGAUAGAGGUGGCUGCUUCCCUGAUGUGGUGACAUAUACCACGGUCAUCCAUGGCUUUUUCAAGGAGGGCGAAACAGGCAAGGCAUGCAAUCUAUUCCAUGAAAUGAUCCAUCAAGGGGUUGAGCCCGAUGUGGCGACGUACAACUCGGUUAUUGAUGCGUUGUGCAAGGCCAGAGCAAUGGACAAGGCUGAAGUAGUCCUUCAGCAGAUGGUCGAUAAAGGUGUUCAACCUGAUACAGUGACAUAUACUUGCAUGAUCAAUGGAUAUUCCACAUCUGGGCGGUUGAAAGAGGCUGCUAAAAUGUUCAGAGAAAUGAAAAGCCGGGGUCUUAUACCAGAUAUUGUUACUUGCAACUCGUUCCUGGCCUCCAUUUGCAAGCAUGGAACAAGCAAAGAAGCUGCAGAGUUUUUCGAUGCCAUGACUGCCAAGGGCCACAAACCGAAUAUCGUCUCAUACCGUAUUUUGCUUCAUGGGUAUGCUACUGAAGGAUGCUUUCCUGAUAUGAUUGAUGUCUUUAAUUCAAUGGAAAGCAAUGGUAUUGCAGCCGACUGCCAUGUUUUCAACAUAUUAAUUGAUGCUAAACGUGGAAUGAUGGAUGAAGCUAUGCUGAUAUCAAGUAAAAUGCAGGAACGCAGAGUGAAUCCUGAUGUAGUCACCUAUUCCAGCAUAAUAGCUGGACUUUCCAGAUUGGGUAGGCUGACUGAGGCCAUGGAAAAAUUCAAUCAGAUGAUUGCCUUGGGAGUACAACCGAACAAAGCUGUUUAUCACGCGCUGAUUCAGGGUUUUUGCAUAGAUGGUGAUUUGGCUAAAGCUAAGCAGUUGGUUUAUGAAAUGAUGGACAGAGGUAUUCCUCGUCCUAACAUUUCGUUCUUUAGUUCAGUAAUAAAGAGUCUCUGCCAAGAAGGAAGGGUUAUGGAUGCACAUGAUAUCUUUGACUUGGUUAUAGACAUGGGUGAGAGGCCUGAUGGCAUUUUAUUUAAUUCACUGAUUGAUGGUUACUGCUUAGUCGGGAAGAUGGAUAAAGCAUUAAAAGUGCUUGAUGUCAUGGAAUCAGUUGGUGUUGAGCCUGAUGUUUUUACAUACAGUACACUUGUUAAUGGCUAUUGUAGAAAUGGAAGGAUCGAUGAUGGUUUGACUCUGUUCAGAGAGAUGCCGCGUAAGAGAAUUAAACCUGACACUGUUUCAUAUCGCGUAAUAAUGGUUGGGUUGUUUCGUGCUGGGAGAACUGUUGCCGCAAGGAAAAUGUUCCAUGAGAUGAUCGAGAGUGGAACAAUGGUGGACAUUUUCACAUACAAUAUAAUACUAGGAGGCCUUUGUAGAAAUAAUUGUGCAGACGAAGCGAUCGCACUGUUCCAGAAACUACGAGCAAUGAAUGUGAAGUUUGAUAUUACCACACUCAAUACCAUGAUUAAUGCAAUGUACAACGUUCAAAGAAAAGAAGAAGCUAAGGAUUUGUUUGCUACAAUAUCAGCCAGUGGGUUGGUGCCUAAUGAAUCUACUUACAGAGUAAUGAUAAAAAAUCUUCUGGAAGAAGGAUCAGUGGAAAAAGCUGACAGUAUGUUUUCGUUGAUGGACAAGAGUGGUAUAGCUCCCAGCUCUCGUCUGUUAAAUGAUAUUAUCAGAAUGUUGUUGGAAAAAGGUGAGAUCACCAAGGCCGGAAAUUAUUUGUCUAAAGUUGAUGGGAAGAGCAUCUCACUUGAAGCUUCAACGACUUCAUUAAUGUUGUCUCUCUUUUCAAGAGAAGGGAAAUAUCGGGAGGACAUGAAAUUGCUUCCUGCAAAGUAUCAAUUUUUCGAUGGAUUUUGU